GAUGAACGCUGGCGGCGUGCUUAACACAUGCAAGUCGAACGGGGCCACCAUUUUUGAAGCGAUUAGCUUGCUAAGAGUGGAAAUGUUGGCGGCUUAGUGGCGGACGGGUGAGUAACGCGUGGGUAACCUGCCAUAUACAGGGGGAUAACACUUAGAAAUAGGUGCUAAUACCGCAUAAGCGCACGGAGCUGCAUGGCUCAGUGUGAAAAACUCCGGUGGUAUAUGAUGGACCCGCGUCUGAUUAGCUUGUUGGCGGGGUAACGGCCCACCAAGGCGACGAUCAGUAGCCGGCCUGAGAGGGUGGACGGCCACAUUGGGACUGAGACACGGCCCAA
RNAcentral lists this ribosomal RNA (335 nucleotides) under uncultured bacterium. Its description in RNAcentral is "bacterial SSU rRNA". It matches the Rfam family "Bacterial small subunit ribosomal RNA", at positions 28 to 334 of the family's 1533-position model. The record is from RNAcentral.